RNAcentral lists this ribosomal RNA (437 nucleotides) under uncultured anaerobic ammonium-oxidizing bacterium. RNAcentral describes it as "bacterial SSU rRNA". It matches the Rfam family "Bacterial small subunit ribosomal RNA", at positions 383 to 810 of the family's 1533-position model. The record is from RNAcentral.
GUGAACGAGCGACGCCGCGUGGAGGAAGAAGGCCUUCGGGUUGUAAACUCCUGUCACAGGUUAAGAAGAAUGUUCUGCUUAACAAGCGGGACUUUCGGACAAAGGCCUGAGAGGAAGCCACGGCUAACUCUGUGCCAGCAGCCGCGGUAAGACAGAGGUGGCAAGCGUUGUUCGGAACCACUGGGCGUAAAGGGCGCGUAGGCGGCGAUGUAAGUCGGGUGUGAAAUCCCUCGGCUCAACCGAGGCAUAGCUUCCGAUACUGCAUCGCUAGAGUGCGGGAGGGGAGAGUGGAACUUCUGGUGGAGCGGUGAAAUGCGUAGAUAUCAGAAGGAACGCCGGAGGCGAAGGCGACUCUCUGGACCGCUACUGACGCUGAGGCGCGAAAGCUAGGGGAGCAAAUGGGAUUAGAUACCCCAGUAGUCCUAGCCGUAAACGAU